GGGUCAAUGAUGAAAACUCAUAUUACCUCAAAGAGAGAUGAUGACCUAAAAAUUAUGCUCAACAGGAUUACACUGAGACCC
Molecule: small nucleolar RNA, 81 nt
Organism: Zalophus californianus (California sea lion)
Lineage: Eukaryota; Metazoa; Chordata; Mammalia; Carnivora; Otariidae
Gene: SNORD115
Rfam family: Small nucleolar RNA SNORD115
About the family: HBII-52 is a member of the C/D class of snoRNAs, which contain the C (UGAUGA) and D (CUGA) box motifs. HBII-52 is encoded in a tandemly repeated array with another C/D snoRNA, HBII-85, in the Prader-Willi syndrome (PWS) region of chromosome 15.
Source: Ensembl